CGGACGGGUGAGUAAUGUCUGGGAAACUGCCUGAUGGAGGGAGAUAACUACUGGAAACGGUAGCUAAUACCGCAUAACGUCGCAAGACCAAAGAGGGGGACCUUAGGGCCUCUUGCCAUCGGAUGUGCCCAGAUGGGAUUAGCUUGUUGGUGGGGUAACGGCUCACCAAGGCGACGAUCCCUAGCUGGUCUGAGAGGAUGACCAGCCACACUGGAACUGAGACACGGUCCAG
Molecule: ribosomal RNA, 232 nt
Filed under: uncultured bacterium
Lineage: Bacteria
Description: partial 16S ribosomal RNA
Rfam family: Bacterial small subunit ribosomal RNA
Source: RNAcentral